AAGCAGGGGGGAAUAUUGGACAAUGGGCGCAAGCCUGAUCCAGCCAUACCGCGUGGGUGAAGAAGGCCUUCGGGUUGUAAAGCCCUUUUGUUGGGAAAGAAAUCCAGCUGGCUAAUACCCGGUUGGGAUGACGGUACCCAAAGAAUAAGCACCGGCUAACUUCGUGCCAGCAGCCGCGGUAAUACGAAGGGUGCAAGCGUUACUCGGAAUUACUGGGCGUAAAGCGUGCGUAGGUGGUCGUUUAAGUCCGUUGUGAAAGCCCUGGGCUCAACCUGGGAACUGCAGUGGAUACUGGGCGACUAGAGUGUGGUAGAGGGUAGCGGAAUUCCUGGUGUAGCAGUGAAAUGCGUAGAGAUCAGGAGGAACAUCCAUGGCGAAGGCAGCUACCUGGACCAACACUGACACUGAGGCACGAAAGCGUGGGGAGCAAACAGGAUUAGAUACCCUGGUAGUCCACGCCCUAAACGAUGCGAACCGGAUUUUG
Molecule: ribosomal RNA, 484 nt
Filed under: uncultured Stenotrophomonas sp.
Lineage: Bacteria; Pseudomonadati; Pseudomonadota; Gammaproteobacteria; Lysobacterales; Lysobacteraceae
Description: bacterial SSU rRNA
Rfam family: Bacterial small subunit ribosomal RNA
Source: RNAcentral